RNAcentral lists this long non-coding RNA (1171 nucleotides) under Mus caroli (Ryukyu mouse). Its description in RNAcentral is "predicted gene 10530 (MGP_CAROLIEiJ_G0013258.1)". The record is from RNAcentral. Lineage: Eukaryota; Metazoa; Chordata; Mammalia; Rodentia; Muridae.
GAGAACCUCACAAUCUAGUUAGGGAUGGUGACAGCUGAGCCAGAGCUGUGCAGUGAGGCAGAGUACAAUGUGUGUCACGAAGGAGUUACAACAUCUCAGCAGCGAGAAGGAAAAUGGAAUUCUGAUUGGUGGGAGUGCCAUGGACCAAGCUUUGUGGAGGAGAUAACUGAAGAGAAGGCUGGAGUCUUGCCUGCAGGUUGAACCCGCUGGAAGGAGGGAUGAGGAGAACGAAGAAGGUUCCAGCCAUGUGCAGUGAAUGCAGAGGGGAGGGUGCUGUCAAGAGACUCGCCUGGGAAAGGCGGGGAACCAGGGGUGUGCUCCAGAGAAGAAGCCAAGUAAUUAGCAUGGCAGAAGGGGACUGCCACUGUGUUUGGCACAGCCAUGGUUGGUCCUCAGAGAACACGUUCAGUUGUGUGUGAUGCAAUGACCGAAGUAACCAUAAGGAUGCAGAUGCUGCUUUCUGAGGCCCAGCCAACAGUCACCGUGAGGCUGAGUGGCAAGGACCAGAACCCUGAAACUGAGGGCGUUUCUCACUAUACAUUCCCCUCUCCUCCCAGCUUUCCAAACCCUCACCAUCUGACUUUGUACCUCUUUCAAGUGAAACAGGUUGCAUAUUGCUGAGCUGACAGAGGCUCCCUACCCAGACUAAUAGAGCCCGCCACACGGAAGUAAUUUCUUGUUAAACUUCUAUCCAGUGAAAUCCAACCACUGCACACAGCAGGCCCGGCUGUGCUGGUACUGCCAGCCUGCCACCGAGGCGCAAGGGAAUAAAGGAAAAUGCUUAGCAUUAAAUUUCAUGUAAAUCAGACUUUAUUUGCUCUGGUGACAGGUUAUUACCUUCUGCAGGGAACGAGGGGAGAAAUGGCUGCCACUGAAGACAGAGUUCCCCCAGUGAGCCUCUGUAGCAGCCUCCUGCAGCAGGCAUGCCUAACUCACCUGUUUUGCCCCACCCAUCCUCUCUGCUAGCUUCUCUGUAAAUGGCCAGGGUCUACAGGCUCUUCUUGGCAUAGUAGCCCUGCCUAUGCAGCCUUCCUGAUGCUUCAGAGAUGGUCACUAUUUGUGUGGACUUCCCCACUAAGGACAUUGGGCACUCUUCGCCUUGCUUUGUGGCUCAGUCUAUCUCCCACCAAGAACAUUCUAUAUAGCAAUAAACUUAUUAAGACUCAGCUCA